AUCAAUUUAUCAGAUCAAAUUGAACGAAUAGAUUUGACGAAAUAGUGUGUGAGAUGAAGAGGAUUAGAGAAAUGGAACGGCGCAAAAAAAAGAAACCGAGGGAUCCGAAAAGAAAUGAUGAACUAAAAACUUGCGGUUGUUUGUGAUCGGAUAUCCUUUCACAAUCUAGCGGCAGAAUACUGUACUUGGUCUCACCACGACAAAACUUCGUUAAAUGCGAAAGGAUAUGCGCCUUUAAAGAAUACUGUAAUUUAUAACUUCCGUUGAUGCAGAAUUUUCAGAAAUUUUUGGUUUUUUUUCGCGAUUUGUUGAAAAAUAUUUAUUUUUUUUUUGGCUUUUAAUAAAUAAAUAUUUUUU
Molecule: long non-coding RNA, 357 nt
Organism: Caenorhabditis elegans
Lineage: Eukaryota; Metazoa; Nematoda; Chromadorea; Rhabditida; Rhabditidae
Gene: linc-127
Product: ncRNA
Source: Ensembl